GGUGGUUCCUGGGUGACGCACCCUGAAAUCGGGCUCCCUCCUCUCUGGUUCCGGAUGCGUCACCAGAGAACUGCC
Molecule: non-coding RNA, 75 nt
Organism: Myotis brandtii (Brandt's bat)
Lineage: Eukaryota; Metazoa; Chordata; Mammalia; Chiroptera; Vespertilionidae
Source: Rfam